UACGUAGGGACCAAGCGUUGUUCGGAUUUACUGGGCGUAAAGGGUGCGUAGGCGGCGCGGUAAGUCACUUGUGAAAUCUCUGAGCUUAACUCAGAACGGCCAAGUGAUACUGCAGUGCUAGAGUGUGGAAGGGGCAAUCGGAAUUCUUGGUGUAGCGGUGAAAUGCGUAGAUAUCAAGAGGAACACCUGAGGUGAAGACGGGUUGCUGGGCCGACACUGACGCUGACAGCGCGAAAGCCAGGGGAGCAAACGGG
Molecule: ribosomal RNA, 254 nt
Filed under: uncultured bacterium
Lineage: Bacteria
Description: partial 16S ribosomal RNA
Rfam family: Bacterial small subunit ribosomal RNA
Source: RNAcentral